This 468-nucleotide ribosomal RNA is filed under the name uncultured bacterium. Its description in RNAcentral is "partial 16S ribosomal RNA". It matches the Rfam family "Bacterial small subunit ribosomal RNA", at positions 28 to 507 of the family's 1533-position model. The record is from RNAcentral.
GACGAACGCUGGCGGCGUGCUUAACACAUGCAAGUCGAACGGAAAGGCCCUGUACUUGUAGGGAGCUCAAGUGGCGAAAGGGUGAGAAUAACGCGAGUGGCCUGCGCUUGACAUUGGGAUAACUUAAGGAAACAGGGGCGAAUAUCGGGCAUAAGCACCUGCUGCAUGAUGGGGGUUGGUGAGAUUCGGCGGUUGGGGACGGACACGCGGCCCAUCGUCUUGUUGGUGGGGUAGUGGCUUACCAAGGCUUUGACGGGUAGCCGGACUGGGAGGGUGACCGGCCACAUUGUGCUUGGGAAGCGGGCCAGACUGAUACUGGAGGCAGCAGUGGGGGAUAUUGCAAGAAGGGCGGAGGCCGUAUGCAGCAAUGUCGCGUGCGAGAUGACGGCUUUCAGGUUGUAACGCGCGUUCGCCUGUGACGAAGCGUGAGUGACGGUAAUGGGUAAAGAAGCACCGGCUAACUACGUG